Molecule: ribosomal RNA, 465 nt
Filed under: uncultured bacterium
Lineage: Bacteria
Description: partial 16S ribosomal RNA
Rfam family: Bacterial small subunit ribosomal RNA
Source: RNAcentral
CCUACGGGAGGCAGCAGUAGGGAAUCUUCCACAAUGGGCGAAAGCCUGAUGGAGCAACGCCGCGUGGGUGAAGAAGGUCUUCGGAUCGUAAAACCCUGUUGUUAGAGAAGAAAGUGCGUGAGAGUAACUGUUCACGUUUCGACGGUAUCUAACCAGAAAGCCACGGCUAACUACGUGCCAGCAGCCGCGGUAAUACGUAGGUGGCAAGCGUUAUCCGGAUUUAUUGGGCGUAAAGGGAACGAAGGCGGUCUUUUAAGUCUGAUGUGAAAGCCUUCGGCUUAACCGGAGUAGUGCAUUGGAAACUGGGAGACGUGAGUGCAGAAGAGGAGAGUGGAACGCCUUGUGUAGCGGUGAAAUGCGUAGAUAUAUGGAAGAACACCAGUGGCGAAAGCGGCUCUCUGGUCUGUAACUGACGCUGAGGUUCGAAAGCGUGGGUAGCAAACAGGAUUAGAUACCCUUGUAGUC